GUACGAGCCAAUAUCUGAUGCUGAUGAGGACAAAGAUGCGGCGCAUAGAGCAAUGGUCUUUGCAAUCGGAUGGUAAAUAUGUCAGGUUCAUAACCUUUCUGAAGGAAUCAAAUUCCAUAUGUUUAACCCUCAUGUAUUUAACACACUGAAAAACAAAUCAGGUUCCUUGAUCCUCUGUUCUUUGGAAAAUAUCCCCUUUCAAUGGAAAAGCUUGUGGGUGAGAGAUUACCUGAAAUCACUCCAGAGGCGUCCAAAGCCUUGGCAGGUUCCCUGGACUUUGUGGGCAUUAAUCAUUACACAUCUCUGUAUG
This 310-nucleotide long non-coding RNA is filed under the name Manihot esculenta (cassava). RNAcentral describes it as "long non-coding RNA (MESC_LNC008906)". The record is from RNAcentral. Lineage: Eukaryota; Viridiplantae; Streptophyta; Magnoliopsida; Malpighiales; Euphorbiaceae.